This 1378-nucleotide ribosomal RNA is filed under the name Triticum aestivum (bread wheat). RNAcentral describes it as "partial small subunit ribosomal RNA". Lineage: Eukaryota; Viridiplantae; Streptophyta; Magnoliopsida; Poales; Poaceae. The record is from RNAcentral.
AAAAAAAAGAGAUGUCCUGGUGGAUGCAGAGAGAGAGAGAGCGCGCGCGCGAGCCAGAUUGACCAUAUCAUCAUGCAAUCAUGGGGGCUUUGAACCUCUUCCCAAACCUGUCGUCGAGCUGGGUCAAGCUCAUCCACGGCCAGGCGUGGCGCUUAUUGGUCCGGAGAGCGGGGCGUGGCUCAGUCAGCACCGGUCACGUACGUAAACCCACCAUGCACCAGCACCACACAUCACGGACGCCAGGGAGUUGCAAGAGGAUAAGGCAAUCGUGUCCCCGUGACUCCAUUUCCUACGGUACGCAUGCAGCUAGCACAGCCGGCCGAAGCUCUGCUCUCAGCUCGACAGCAAUGGCGAGAGCCUGCAAGUGCAGCCCCGCCUUGAGGCUGCUGCCGAACCCGAUCACGGCACAGCUCCCGAGCGGCAGGAGCCACGGAAGAUGCAGAUGCCUUGCCGUUCACGCGCAGCUCCCAGCCGAGGAUGCCGAUGAUUACCCCGCUGAGUCACCCAAAAGGGUCCAGGUUACACAGAGCCUCAGGAGGAGCCGCCGGAGGGGAGCCGCCGGGCGGCAGAGCCUGAUCUCCGUCGGGACGUCGCGCGGCGGAGGAGAUCAGUGGGGCAGCGACUUCGAGCUGACGCUCCGGCAGCUGAGGCUGGACGACCUGAUCGAGGACGGGCACAGCGACGCCGACGUCCUGGUGCACCUUCUGGUCCAGCAGCACACCCAGUUCGGAAUGUCGAUCAAAGGGCGAGUGGUCACAUCGCUCACCAAAAUAUGUGAUUCCUGCUCCGCCCCAUACUGCACAAAGAUUGAUGAGCAGUUCGACAUUACGGUGCUGUCUUCCUCCAGGAAAGAUCAGAGCGGUUUGCCUGAAAUCGGAGACAGCGAUCCGUCAGUCAUCUAUGUGAAGCCAGGAACAGAAAUCGAUAUCGACUCGUCAAUCCAAGAGACGAUACGACUAACAGCGUCAGCCAAGAGUUCAUGUUCGGAGGCGUGUGAGAAGUCUCCUGUCGUGUGGAAACGUGCUGGUAACCAGAAGAAGCGUUACAGCCAAACGUGGUCAAAACUUCUUGAUCUCAAGAGAACUCUGGAUAAGGCGCCCAGCUAAAUUACUGUUGCCGAUGCAGUUUCAACUCGACGGCACUCUGAUUAUCUGAUAUGAAAAUGCUACAGUGUGAUAUAUCGAACAAAAAGCUCAUGUGACCGGAUGGUUAAUCAAUGGACAUGGUUAUCCAGUGAUUGUUCCUCUCCAUAAUAAUUAACUGUAUACUCAUAGAGACUACUACGCUAUAACAAAGCAUUUCCUCAAAUAUAUUACCUAUGGGAAAAUAUGUAUGGAUUCAGAACUUUUUGUUUUGUUUUUGAAAAGAGCCAAAAGAC